GUGAGUAACACGUGGGUGAUCUGCCCUGCACUUCGGGAUAAGCCUGGGAAACUGGGUCUAAUACCGGAUAGGACGAUGGUUUGGAUGCCAUUGUGGAAAGUUUUUCGGUGUGGGAUGAGCUCGCGGCCUAUCAGCUUGUUGGUGGGGUAAUGGCCUACCAAGGCGUCGACGGGUAGCCGGCCUGAGAGGGUGUACGGCCACAUUGGGACUGAGAUACGGCCCAG
Molecule: ribosomal RNA, 224 nt
Filed under: uncultured Actinomycetales bacterium
Lineage: Bacteria; Bacillati; Actinomycetota; Actinomycetes; Actinomycetales
Description: partial 16S ribosomal RNA
Rfam family: Bacterial small subunit ribosomal RNA
Source: RNAcentral